Physcomitrium patens is the source of this 1747-nucleotide non-coding RNA. Lineage: Eukaryota; Viridiplantae; Streptophyta; Bryopsida; Funariales; Funariaceae. The record is from RefSeq and is a predicted model, not a curated record.
AACUCAUGGUCGCAGUGUAGAAACGCCAAUUUCCGAAUAAUUAAAGUUUAUGCGGGGUUGGGGAGGGUGUGUCUCUUGGAAUGCCAUCAGAUACAUACACAAUGCGGGAUAUAAAGCCUUUUAACGUCGGAGGAUCUAUUGAGAUCUCCCACCAUCAAACCUCUCACCAACUCUGGCGUAAACCUAGUACGUGGUUCUAAUUACUUUCCAACAGUUUGCAUCCUGAUGACGUAGAAAAAUGGCGUGUAGGUAGCUUUGUAGGUGCGAUUGUUAGCCUUGGUUGUGGUUCCAUGAAGCAGGAAUGGCCUACAUUCACCACCUGAGCUUCGAAGCCUGUGUGACGUGAAUGUGCAUUAACUUUCCCAUCAGUUGUAUUCUUGCGUUGAUUGUGGGGUUAGAUCCGCCCCUGCCAGAUUGUGAUUGUCUGCAGGUGUUAGAAAGUGCAGGAAAUUAUGAUUCUAUACCUGGACACAGAUCAAAAGGCAGCCCACAUGCGUUGUGUUAUUAGACCCACAGUGGCAGAGGAUCUCCGGAUGGGUGUAAGGCUGAGGGUGUAGAGGAGAGUUGAUGGCCAAUUUCACGCUGUCGUCCAACCAUUGCAGUCAAGAAGUGUUGUGAAUUCGGUAUGAGACUUGUAAUGCCGAGGAAGCAAUUAAGAGAAGGCGAUCCCUGUAGACUUUGAUACCAGUUAUAUCCACCCAUCAAGAAAGAUGCCCAGGCUUCGAGAGGCACAGAUACCAAUCGGGCACAAAGUUUAUAAGAACAUCUUGAAGCUUCUGAACGUUGCUGUCAUCAUCUUUGGCAUUAUGACUGUGGUGAUGUCUUUUGAAAUCAAUCCCGUGCCAACUUUCUCCCCUGGAUGGUUGCUGAUACUUUUGGGGUCAACGACAAUGCUGGGUGGUUUUACGGGAUUUGGGGGCACAACUCUGCCCUGUUGCUACAAGAGUCACAUCAUCUGCAUGAGCAUAGCCAUCUUCGGCACUGCAGUUUUCUGCCUCUGCAUGUUUGGCCAGAGGGCUAAAGUUGUGGCAAGCUUCAAGAGCAAAAGAUUUUCAGAAGAAACUGUGGACCGCUACUUGUCUUCGAUUUGUUGGCUGUAUAUUUUUGUCGUCAUUGUUGAGUGUGUUGCAUUGGCAGCAAGGGUCAUUUUCCAGCGCAAGUUCAUCCAUGAACAAUUUGAGUCACUAGCACAGACACAAGACCUCCGAGCUGCCACCUUGAGAACGAUGCGAGAGGAUCUCGGUAGCCGCAGUAAUAAAGUUGAUAGGACCAGAGCUGGUAACCUCGACGCUAAAAUGCAAGACAAGUAUGCCAAGUGGAACUACCAAGACGGGACAUAAUUCCAAGCUAGACCUCAAACUGCUUCAAAUUCCUCAGCUUGCAGCCAUCAUCAAGUUCUGAGCUUGUGCAGGUUUUGUUUAUCACAUGUGGAUGAUAUCAAGCAUCUUCUGAAAAAGACCAUAGUGUUCCUAUGCUUCGUAAUGUUAAAGCUUUUUUUCAUGUAUUUGUGCAAGAAGAGUGUUUAGAAUUAUGUGGUCGUACUUGGUGUCCCAUAUCUUGGUCAACCCUUUGUGUAUUUCUUGAUAGCUUUUGUGUAUUUUAUUGAAAACUUUUAAGAGAUUUUGGACUUCAAGGUCUUGGGUUAUUCUUAAUUCUAGAGAAUAAAGAAUUGGUAUAUGUUGCACUUUAUAUAAGUUAAAAACAUACAAUUUGGCACAAAGAUUGCCACUGUAGCAUUCAAAAAGCA